AAUGGAUUAGUGGCGAACGGGUGAGUAACACGUGGGUAACCUGCCCAUAAGAGGGGGAUAACAUUCGGAAACGGAUGCUAAUACCGCAUAGGUCUUUGAGACGCCUGUCUCUUAGAUGAAAGGUGGCUUCGGCUGCCGCUUAUGGAUGGACCCGCGGCGUAUUAGCUAGUUGGUGAGGUAAUGGCUCACCAAGGCUGUGAUACGUAGCCGACCUGAGAGGGUGAUCGGCCACACUGGGACUGAGACACGGCCCAGACUCCUACGGGAGGCAGCAGUAGGGAAUCUUCCACAAUGGGUGAAAACCUGAUGGAGCAAUACCGCGUGAGUGAAGAAGGUCUUCGGAUCGUAAAGCUCUGUUGUUAGAGAAGAACAAGUCGGGUAGUAACUGCCCCGGCCUUGACGGUAUCUAACCAGAAAGUCACGGCUAACUACGUGCCAGCAG
Molecule: ribosomal RNA, 442 nt
Filed under: Marinilactibacillus piezotolerans
Lineage: Bacteria; Bacillati; Bacillota; Bacilli; Lactobacillales; Carnobacteriaceae
Description: bacterial SSU rRNA
Rfam family: Bacterial small subunit ribosomal RNA
Source: RNAcentral